CCCUUCUAAUGCAGCAUUUCCAUCUUUAUUAUUAUUCGUAGGGCUUCUUAUCGCAAAUAGCGGUUGUGUAACUUGCGUUUGCGUUUCUUUUGGCGGCGAUUGCAUAAACAGCGUUUGCGUUUGCGUUUCUUUCGGAGGCGGAGGCGCCGGUGGUUGCAUAAACAGCGUUUGCGUUUGCGUUUCUUUCGGAGGCGGAGGAGCCGGUGGUUGCAUAAACAGCGUUUGCGUUUCCUUCGGAGGCGGAGGAGCCGGCGGCUGCAUAAACAACGUCUGCGUUUCCUUAGGAGGCGGAGGAGCAGGCGGUUGCAUAAACAGCGUUUGCGUCUCUUUCGGAGGCGCAGACGGUGGCUGUUGCAUAAACAGCGUCUGCGUCUCUUUCGGAGGCGGCGGCGGUUGCAUAAACAACGCCUGUGUUUGCGGCUGCUGAAGUUGCGGUUGUUGCUGAUGCUGCUGCUGCUGCUGAUAAUGGUGAUACUGUUGACCGAACUGACUCACCGGGCCAAACUGAAGAAACCUCAACUCGUUAUCAUAAAUGGCUUUCUUAGAAGGAUUAGACAACACAUUCCAAGCUUCAGAAACCAACCGAAAGGCCUGAUCUGAAAAAGAAAGACCGUUCUUCCCAUAAUUCAAAAGCAUAGCCAGUUUCCUGUACUGACCCGCCACCACUUCCAUAGACUGAGUUAACGGCACGAGUUGUAAUAUCCCGUACCAAUCUUGAGGGUUUGAUUGCGCAGCCAUGAGAGUGUCGGUCACAGCCAGUAUCUGGUCAGCCGGCACCGGGGCCAGUUCCCGUGCUCGGAUCGCCAACGUCCUAGCCCCGUGCAAGUCACGUGACGCCAAUAGCUUCUCAGCUAUGGUGAGCCAACGUUCCGCUUCAGUAGUGUUACCGUCCAUUUCCUUCUCCCAAUGUGGUUUUUUCUCUCUCUCUCUCUUGCUUUUUUGUUGUGCGGAAACUACUUUUGUUUGAUGGUGGGAAAAAGGAACCAGACAAAAGCGUCACCUCGGUGUCUGGUUUUGGACGAUUCAAGACACCUGUUUUGAAACAAAUUCCGCAUUGGUUUCACUUGGCUUAUAAGGAAUAAAGGGAAAUGUGGAUGGGUAUUAUUGUCUUUUCAAAAUCCAGUGUCCAAGUGCAAAAUUUUUUAUUUUUAGUAGGGAAGUGUGGGUUGAACUUUGAACUUUUGAAAUGGCAAAAAAAAUAUGGAAAGCUUUGCUGGAAAAGGGUGUUUUAGUAAUUUCAAAAGGAAUUUAUGGAUUGUGGUACAGUUUUGCAUUGUGACAGUCGUCUUUAUUAAGGUGCGCC
Molecule: long non-coding RNA, 1303 nt
Filed under: Gossypium barbadense (sea-island cotton)
Lineage: Eukaryota; Viridiplantae; Streptophyta; Magnoliopsida; Malvales; Malvaceae
Description: long non-coding RNA (GBAR_LNC003476)
Source: RNAcentral